GGCAGCAAAAUCGGAGUAACGAAGCAAUAAGUGGGGAACAAGAGACAAUAGGGAGAGCAGGGCGGCAAAAUGACAGGCUCCGACGUCUAUCGAUGUGGCUGAAGGGUUUCCAGAAAAUGAAAUUGGUGGAUCAUUAUAGCAGACCCAACCCACGAGAAAAAGUAACCAUUCCAGUCCAACAUGUGUCUAAAGCGUGUAC
This 199-nucleotide long non-coding RNA is filed under the name Brassica napus (rape). Its description in RNAcentral is "long non-coding RNA (BNAP_LNC014458)". Lineage: Eukaryota; Viridiplantae; Streptophyta; Magnoliopsida; Brassicales; Brassicaceae. The record is from RNAcentral.